Molecule: ribosomal RNA, 209 nt
Filed under: uncultured bacterium
Lineage: Bacteria
Description: partial 16S ribosomal RNA
Rfam family: Bacterial small subunit ribosomal RNA
Source: RNAcentral
CGCGUAGGCGGCGAGAUAAGUCAGACGUGAAAUUCCUGGGCUCAACCUGGGGGCUGCGUUUGAGACUGUUUGGCUAGAGGAUGGAAGAGGCUCGUGGAAUUCCCAGUGUAGAGGUGAAAUUCGUAGAUAUUGGGAAGAACACCGGUGGCGAAGGCGGCGAGCUGGUCCAUUACUGACGCUGAGGCGCGAUAGCGUGGGGAGCAAAACAG